UGUAAAGACAUGAUAAGAAAAUGUGGGGAAUCGUGAAGGAAGGAGCUGGGGGUGGUGUGGGCACAGAGGAGGAGCAGUGCACGUGCGGUCUGACAUACGGCUGUGAGUUCAGAGUUAGAGGUUUGCAGCUUGCAGGCCUGAAGACGUGUCGGCUGACAUGCUCCCAGAGAAUCGGAAGCUGCAGGGACCCACACUGCUGAGCAGAUCAUCAGAUGCAUAAAUCAGUGUGAGUCGUGCUGGCAAGGCUGAAUGGACACCCACACUGGCAAGCAGUGCCGUGCAACAGGAGCAGGCCUGUAGAGUGAAACAGUUGGCACUGGGGAUCCAAUGUCCACACUAUUUGGGGUGGGGAGAGGGGGUGGAGGAGGUUCAGAUUAAAUUAAGCACGAAGACAUGCUUCUAGACUGUACCUAAUGUGCUGCAGCCACCAGGAGCACAUUAGGUACAGUCCAGAAGUGUCUUCUGGUUGAAAUUAAUCUGAAUCAAGCAAUCAAGUUUGUGCACCCUGAGACCACACCACAAAGCAAAAAAAAAAAAAAAAUGGAAUUGAUAAGGUGACUCACUUUAAAAGCCUGUUUUCACAGUACAAACUGCUGGUGUAGAUGCAGCUUCUUUUGAAUGUGUAAGGACAUGGAAGGAUACAUGCCAGCUGGGUGCAAAUUUUUCCUAUGAGCUGGGAAGUUUGUUAACAGAUGCAUUAGUACAUGUGGAAAAAAAGUAGUUUUUGUUCCAGAGUUCUCUAUUUAGGAUGCUGAAGACAUUCUCAGGCAGUUUGUGAAAUACUGCAGACCCACAGUUCUGUCUGGAAAACCUUCUGUCCGCCUGUGCCUGCAUGUGUGGCCUCCUGCACAGCAGAUCCCCCUGCUGGGUUCUUGGGUGACAGUGCAACGCAAGUAACAUAAACCAGUUGCUAUUUCCUCUGGUCAUUAAUCACUCGGGAUCUCAUCGGUACUUAAUUGAGAUACCUAAGGCACCCUUAUACAGACUAUAAGAUUUCUCAUACUUGGAGCCCUUCUCCCUUUCUAAAUCACUUACAUUUUCUAGGAAUAGCCUUGGUAAUAAAAUGAGCUGCCUAACCCCUUGCCAACAGGGAACACGAUGACUGACACUUAAACGGCACCUUUCAUCCUAAGAACUAAACCUAUGCCUGGAAUCCUGUCCUGGCUGCUGGCGCUCUAUCAGUGUGAUGCAAGAGCCUCCUUGCCAGCCCAGAGCACAGUCUCAGUGCGAAGUUUAAUGCCCUCUGUAGCUGCUUUGCAAAGGAUCAAUGCCCUUGGCUCUCUGAUCUGUCUGACGUACACACGUGUUAGGCUGGGGUUGUUGUGCUCAGAGGGUGGCUAACCAUGCUCUGCAAAGAGGACCUGGAAAGGACUUUGCAGGCUGUCGCAUGAAGCUCCUGCAGCCAUGUCCUGGACUUGUUCCAUCACGGCAGUGUGCCAGAAGCUCCAUCCUGCAGGGCUCGGUAGGGCACUUCAGACAUCCAGGUGGUCAGAAUGAGAAGAGUCAUGAUGCAAAACUAUCUGAAGAGCAAAUACCACAGCAGGCCCUUCAACCAGCAUGCCAGAGAGACGCACCUUCAGCUCCUACAUUUCAAACUGCCUGAGAAGCCCAAAGACUGCAUGGAGAAGAAAGUAGAAAAAUGAAAUUGGACUUCCUUUUUUUCUUUUAUGAAACUUAAGCUUCUACAUCACAGAUAAGCAAGUUCCUAAAUAAAAGCAUCAAAU
Coturnix japonica (Japanese quail) is the source of this 1724-nucleotide non-coding RNA. The record is from RefSeq and is a predicted model, not a curated record. NCBI's taxonomy places the organism in Eukaryota, Metazoa, Chordata, Aves, Galliformes, Phasianidae.